Molecule: non-coding RNA, 1769 nt
Organism: Ictidomys tridecemlineatus (thirteen-lined ground squirrel)
Lineage: Eukaryota; Metazoa; Chordata; Mammalia; Rodentia; Sciuridae
Source: RefSeq, a predicted model, not a curated record
AGCCACCGAGGGGGCAGAAGCCAGGUGGCAUGGGCUGGGUCUCGCCCUGCACAGGGUCUGUCCCCAGAGACAGUGUCAUGGUGGGGUGGAGUCAUGUGAGCUGGGAUCCAGGAAACUGGCCACUUCCCUGUUUCAGAGGUCCCUGGACACAUCUGGAACACCUCUGGGCUCCCUCUGGGCCUCAGCCUCCUCAUCGGUAAAAGGGAGCCGCUGGUUUUGCUGAUCUGGAAAGUUCCUGCCAGCUUUGAGCAUUGAUGGCUUUCAGUUGUGGAUUCUGGGUUCUCUGCUCCUUUGCACCCUAAGACUGUACCACACGGAGUCUGAUGCUUAAGGAUGUCCGACCUGAGUCCCAGGUGAGGAAUUCAGGGUUGAUGUUUGAGAGUCAAGAGUCCCAGUGUCCAGAAUCUUCCCCUCUGCGGCUCUCACAUCUGCGUCUGCCAGGAGCUGCAGGAGGUGCCCUCCCCUGGGCCAGCCCAGGGCCCUCCAUGGUCGCCCAGCACACAUGGUCCCUGCCUUCCUUGGAGCCCCCGUGGGCUGGCCCCAGGGUGAGGUCCCCCAGUUGAGGCUGCUGCUGGUAAGGAACAGCUGGCACAAGAUGUCCUUCUCCUUGGUCCAUGCCACUCAGAGCCAUUCCCAGACCCCGACCUGGGUCACCAGGUGAGGCAGGGUCACCUCACUGUCCAGCCUGACCUGCAUGCUCAGGCCUGUGGCUCCCUGCAGGAUAGAAGAGAGGCCAGGGCUCUGUGGGCCUGCAGUGUGCACAGGCGCCUGCUGUCCAACCCUAGGGAGCCUGGGGGCAGGUUCGGAGCCUAGACCUGAGGGGGGGGGGCACAGUGUGGUCGCUGGCGGUCAGGUCAGAGUGAUACAGGUGGAGGAGGGGCAAGGCAGAGGCCAGAGUGGCAAGUAACAGAGGGGUUUCUGUCUCAAUUGCUGUGGCCCAGAAUGUCUUCCUUUUGAGGUCUAGAGGAAUGGAUUUCUCCCACUUGUUCUCUUCUCUUGUUUCUGGGCGCUGGGAAUGAACCCCAGCUUCACGUGCCAGGCGACGUCUCCCACUAGCAGCAGGCAGGCUGCCCCGCUGGAGGGCCGGCUGCUCAUGACUGGGUCCUUGCAGGUCAACUAGAUCUACACUUGGCUACCAGCUGGCUUUGCUCUGCAAGGUGUAACUGUUCCGUGCGAGGGCAGACGUGCGCCGGGACAAGCCGUCUGACUGCCCCCCGCCCCUCAGCUUGGACCUGCGGCAGGACCACUUUCCUUGUCCAUCUGUUGCCUGUGUCUGAUCCAACCCUCCCGGAUCCAGUGAGGGCCCUGCGCUACCUGCGGAUAACAAUACCCCCAGCCCCGUGGGCUGCCAGCUGGUGGAGGGUCUCUGGAGGAGGUCGAGUCUGGGGCUCUGAGGGAGGCAUAGAAGUCGAGCUGCGCCAACUGGAGGGGAAGAGGUUUAGGGGCCAGACCCCUGUGUGGAUAAAGACCCGGCUCCUCAGUAAAAUGCAUCGCGUGUAGGUGGCCAAGGGCCAGGUGGAGCGGGGCAGGCGGGCUGCGGGCUGGAGCCACCACGGAGAAGGUGUGCGGGUGAACAAGUGGGGAGACUGAGGCAGCGGGGACUGGGAUGACCUCGAGGUCACGCCGCUGGACAGGAGCCUAAGCAGGGUUGUCUUCGGCUGGCAUCAAUCUAGGGUUCCCCCACGAGCCCCAGUCUCUGGCGGUCAGGCCCUCGCAGACCCCCAGCGCGGAACUACAUUUCCCAGGCUGCUGCGGGGGCGCGCCUGCGC